This is a long non-coding RNA of Nerophis ophidion (straightnose pipefish), 773 nucleotides long. RefSeq lists it as uncharacterized. The record is from RefSeq and is a predicted model, not a curated record. Lineage: Eukaryota; Metazoa; Chordata; Actinopteri; Syngnathiformes; Syngnathidae. The transcript is spliced from 4 exons.
UAUUCGCGCAGCGCGCUCCCGUCUCACCUGCUGGUGCGCGAGCCCGAUAAUUAGACAGCUGCGUCUAAUCAAGGAGUGCAUAAGACGCCACCGCAGCGCUGACUGGAAGAAAGUUCACUAUCCUUGAUUUUAACCCAGAGUUGUGCCAAAAAAGUAUCAAAACCAAAAGCUGAACGGACAGCCGGCUCACAUGGUCCUGGUUGCUUGGAUCAGUGUUACGAUUUGGUGGGCGCAUUGUGAUGCGCGGAGGUGUCGGCCCCAAGAUGCCAAAGACGGGAGCAAGCAGGAGUGGAGAGGGAAUUUGGAACGAGCCAAGCGAGAAUAUGUCCGGAUGCUGGAGUGGCUAAUUCAGCUGGAACUCAUUUAGCAAUGACACACAAAGGAACAUUACAGCAACAUGCACAGACCAAGGAUGGUGUGCAGGGGUUCCAAUGAUAAUAGCGUUACCACCGUGUUGGCCCUGGGUAGCUCCUUGAGCAAUAUUGGACUGUUACAUCCACAGUGCAAGAAGGAGCGCUACCACAGGUCCUUUCUAACCACAGCCAUUACGCUUUACAACACCCUUAUGUGAUUACUGGGAUCUUUUUUCUUGGUGUGCAAUACAGAUGUUAGUGUUCUUUUUUUGUUUUUAUUUCAUAUUUUAUCCAUACAUAUUGGUGUACAAUAUGUAGUAUUUAAAUUUAGUUUGUUUUGUUUUUUAUUACGUUUUUCUCCUGCUCCUGUAUGUAAAAAAACUUCACAGUGUGGGAUAAAUAAAAAUCUACCCAACCCUA